GGGCCGGUAGCUCAGCCAGGCUGGAGCGCUCGGCUGAUAACCGAGAGGUCGGGAGUUCGAAUCUCCCCCGGCCCA
This 75-nucleotide transfer RNA is filed under the name archaeon HR01. It matches the Rfam family "tRNA". Rfam says of the family: Transfer RNA (tRNA) molecules are approximately 80 nucleotides in length. Their secondary structure includes four short double-helical elements and three loops (D, anti-codon, and T loops). The record is from Rfam by way of RNAcentral.